AACGUUACAGAUUCUUACAGAAGAAUUCAUCCUGCAAGGAUGUACUAACUUUUGCCUCAACAUUUGUUUUAGAACAUGGCAGUUCUACAGUUGAUGAAUUUAUAGCUAACAACAUGUCACUUUGUGCUGAUUGCUCAGAAGAUGACUUAAUCAAUGUUACUUUUGAAGUUUGCAACACCAAAGAAAGAGGUAGGUUUGAUACUAAUUUAUAACUUUAUCCUUCAGACAGUUAGGUGAAUAGAGACACAUUAGCAAUGAAAGUUUGAAUAUGUAGACUCCUGUUGAACUUCCAAAAUUAAAAUCUGUUUACUCCAUCUUGCUCCUGCUUCUUCUCCCACCUCUUUAAUUUUCUUACAGAAGCAGUACCUGCAUCUGUUUUUAUCAAGUAUUUGGAGGAUGUGACUGGACAUAACCAUGAAAACAGUAAACUUCUCUUGCUAUAUAAUAUGCUGGAUCCUGCAAGGCAAAAUGUUCUUGUUGACAGAAAAACCUUUCAUGCUACUAUGAAAAAGUGGAUUACCAUAUGCUAUCAAGAUGGUAUUUCAGAAACUGAACCUGAAAAGCAUGGAAGUACCACUAACAAAAAAUUUCAGUGCAAUGUUGAUAUGAUCUCUUCCAUAUCUGAUGAAGGUGUUGAAAUAUUUGAAGGAAGAGCCGAAGAUUCAGAAAUGUG
This 673-nucleotide long non-coding RNA is filed under the name Pogona vitticeps (central bearded dragon). RNAcentral's name for it is "lncRNA (ENSPVIG00000023032.1)". Lineage: Eukaryota; Metazoa; Chordata; Lepidosauria; Squamata; Agamidae. The record is from RNAcentral.